RNAcentral lists this non-coding RNA (24 nucleotides) under Arabidopsis thaliana (thale cress). The record is from RNAcentral. Lineage: Eukaryota; Viridiplantae; Streptophyta; Magnoliopsida; Brassicales; Brassicaceae.
AAGAUACUCCUAAUGGAGAUGGUC